Populus euphratica (Euphrates poplar) is the source of this 563-nucleotide long non-coding RNA. RefSeq lists it as uncharacterized. The record is from RefSeq and is a predicted model, not a curated record. The transcript is spliced from 3 exons. Lineage: Eukaryota; Viridiplantae; Streptophyta; Magnoliopsida; Malpighiales; Salicaceae.
CACCUAAAAGUAGAUGAAAAUGGGUUUCUCAAUGCCAAAGUCCAUUUGAGAAAGGAGGAAGAGAUAAUGCCAAACUCUGCGAAAAGACAGAUAAGAGCUUGGUGGAGGAAGUGUCCCAUUCCCAGUCAAAUGCUUGCAGACAGACAGAAACAAACUCCCUUAUCAUUCAGUUAAUUAACUAUUUGGAGUUUAGGGGACAGCGAAAAUGUCAAGGCUUUUUUAGUUUCGACAGAGUUUUGCAACAGAGAAAGGGGGCUCAUGGAAUUUGAUUUCACUAAUCUGUUGGGUGUGGACACGCACCCGUAACGGGAUGUUCUCUAGCUGCUUGAUAUUUCCGUUUCUUAUCUUUGGUUCAUGAUAUGGAUGUGUUCAUCGGAUGACAGUUCAUACACAAGCAGCGGAGAAGAAUUUCCUUGCUUUUCCCUUUCUUUCUUCAAGGCUUCAUGUUAUUUCGUUACCACUGCUGAAUAAUGCUUGGAAAAGUUUUACUGUUCCUGUUAUAAUGACGAUGAUGAUGAUCAAGAUUGACAUUUUUAUUAUCAUCAUGCCAAUAUGUUGAUAAA